Carassius gibelio (silver crucian carp) is the source of this 302-nucleotide long non-coding RNA. RefSeq lists it as uncharacterized. The record is from RefSeq and is a predicted model, not a curated record. Lineage: Eukaryota; Metazoa; Chordata; Actinopteri; Cypriniformes; Cyprinidae. The transcript has 3 exons.
ACAUUUGUCAAGUUAUUUGAACAGACAUGCAUGAUUUUUGUGUAUAUAUUAUUAUUAUUAUUAUUCAGGAUGACAUGAUCAGGAGGUGGUGGUGUUCUGUUCUCCUGGACAGCUUUACUCCGCAAAUAGCUCAACCACUGAGGGGAGGAACUUCACCAUUCACCAUGUCUUCAGGCAGAGUCCAGCAAAGCAGCUUCCCCUGGAAAUCCUCAGUGAAGUUAUUUUGUCAGCGGGUGACUCUGCAUAUUUGACACUUUCUCUUGUUUGCAGAUGGUUUAGGGAUGUGCUCACUCAAGAAGUUU